GGGGAAGCCCCUUUUUGGGGUCCCUGCGGGCUCGCGACGUGCCCCUGGCACGGCUGCGGGGUGCUGGGUGUGACCGAGCGCCGGCCUUUUGGCUGAGAGCCAGCUCGGGGGGCUCCUGGCCUCGUCCCUCGUCCCGCGGCGGGGGCUCGGGGCCGUGCCACCCCAGAAACGCCCUGCCCGCGUCUCCCGCUCCGUGCCCACCAGGGCGGGUUGCGCGCUGCCCUCCCAGCUCCCCUGUGCCGCUGACGCACCGUGAGUCUGAGGGGCGCCACUCGAGCCCCUCGCGGGCCGUAGGGACGUGGCGAGCUUCGCGGUGCCCUCGGUUGCCGCUAGGAUCCGGCGCUGCAGCGCUGCCCGGCCGCGUAACGCCGCUCUGAGCCCGCCGGGUUUCGGCUCGUGGAGCUGCAGGGCUCCGGGCUGCUGACACCAUGGGUGAGACGAAGCUUCCCAGAUCGGAAUUGCUUGGGUUUAUGUAUUUUUUUUUUAAGUGAUCUUGCUUGGUUUAAGGAUGUAAUUAACUUAACUCUGCAGAGAGAAGCUGAUUUUGGAGAGAAGUAAAUAGAAGGACAGCCCCGAGCUCUGACUGUGUCCGACACCUGAUUUACACAAGUGUUUUUUUUCCCCUUUGAGGCCUGUCAGACUCCCAUGUCACCUUCACAGAGGGGGCUUUCGGUAGCAUCAUGCUCACAGAGUGUCCUCCACCGAGGGCUCUCAAAUCACAAACGCGACACACAAAGCCUGCAGUAAGCCUCGUCUCAGAGAGGAAGAGACUGAGGCAGAGACAGAACUUGCUCAGGGUCCCAGAGGUGUUCCCUAUAACCUCUUCAUUGAAGAGCUUUUUACUGUACACAAGGACACCUGGAGGAUGUCUCAGCGUUGCUGUGCUACAAAGAAGGAUGGUGAGGAGAACCUGGAGACCUAUUGCCAUCAAUGAUCUCUACAGCUCCUGCUGCUAAGGGCUGCCUCCUUUUCUUACGCGUGCUCAUUUAUAGAUAGCCCUGACUCCGCUGCUUGGAGAACGCUUCCAUUUCUCCUUGCGCUUGGUGUACGUGAUGUUCCGCAGUGGAGAGCAGAUCUCUGUACCUGGUUUGGCUCCUGUGGAAAUGGGCAGUGGAAGACCGAGAGGCGAGAGGUGGAAUAGCAUCUGGGUGAUCUCCUGUCCCCGGCUCCGUGCUCCAGUUACAGCUGCUCUGAAAGGCCAGGAGACGCCCCUGGACUUAGCAGCGUAACGCUGAAGCUCAUGCCCGUGUCUCUGCUGGAGAUGAGCGUCCUGUUUGCGAGUCCAAUUACAGCUAAAGGUGGGAAAAAAAGAACAAACACAGAACCAACUGUCUGUGUAAAUAGGAAUUUUCCUCAGUUGCAGGAGCCAGCAGAGGACACUGCUUUGCCUCCUGCUCUGAAAGGGCUGUGUGGUUUUUGUUCCUUUUGCCACCAUCUUGCUGCUCCAUGACCUUCUGGUGGCACCUUUGGCAGGAGAACAGUUCUAUUUUAUCCAUAUCCGCCAGAGAAAUUUGUUUCCCAGGUUGUUUGUUGCUGCUGUAGCAAUACUGCUCCUGUAUAGCUUUACUUAGGAGAGGGAAGAAACAAAACCACAUGACAAACGGGCCCGAUUUAUCACAGCAACAGAAACCUGCAAUUCAGCUCAAUCGCCCCCACAGGCCAGCUUAGACUGCAUCAAUAUUUAAUGCCCUUGAGUGCCGCUGCUUUCGCAGCUCCAGCUUCCCCUCUGCCCCUGCGCUCCUCACCACGUCUGUCACCCCACCAGCCGGGCAGGGCACCCCCGUGCUUCUUCUGCCAAAACUGGGCUCUGUCUCCAGGCUGCCUGGGCAACGUGCUUCGUACCCGAAGGGACACAGCCCCGGCUGGCUGAACACAGCCAAAUUCAGCCCCGUUCCCUGCUUGGCUGGACCACCUGUGCUGCAGAUGUAUGCUCGAGCAACUUCAGCUGAGCUUUCUGGGCAUGCCUGUGGGCUGUGGCAAGGCAAGUGGGAGCAGGGCUGGUCUCAGCUCGGUCUGGUUUGGGGUGACCGCGUUAACCCAGAGAGGUGAUCACGUAAGCCAGAGUUCACCUGGCAGCAGGCUGGAGGUGAAUUCUGUUCUCUUGUCUGUGUCCGUUCCUGUUACUCAGGCAGGAGUAUUUUAUCCCAGAGGGAACCACGGUGAAAUAAAUCCACGGUAAAAUAAAUCACCAGCAAGGCAGGUGGGCUGCACCUGAAAAGAGGAUUACCCGAGCCCGGUCACAUCCCUCCAGCCCGUGAUGAAGGGAGGCCACGUGGACCUCGAUGGUCUCUGACUAGGUGGUGGCAGGCCAGAAGAGAUCUGUCCCCUCCGCACGGCUCGGAGUCACGUCAGGCAGAUCGAUAAGCAGCAGCCUCUGGCUGGAGGUUUCUACUGUGGACCAGGUCACAGUGACUGUGCUCGAGACCUUUCCGGAUUUAAUACUGUCUUCAUGGUUUGAGAUGAAGCUGAUGGUGCAAAUGGCCGUGCUGAGGCUAGGAGCCCGUGCAACUGUCUGGACUGCAACCACGAUGCAACGCAGCAUACCGGCUGUGGAAGUAACUGCAUGUUUUUAAAGGAAAAUACGUAUGAUCUAAGAUUUUUUUUUUCAUCCCCUUGCUUUUUCCACUUGUUCCCAAGCAAGAGGUGGAGGUUCCUCAGACAAAGCUUUGCUUGUGCUGACUGGAGUUAGCUGUUCCACCCUGCCGGAAGCACCCAGCCUGCUUAAGUGCUUGCUUGGCUUCUUACUGACGUCUUGGUUUGUUCCAAACCCAUCUUUAUCUUGAAGCACAUCACCUGAUAAAACAUUUUGCUAUAAAAGCCCAGGCUUUCACAAUGGAGUGAUUCAAAUAAUAAGUCGAAAGCCAGAAGUUACACACUUACUUUCAAAGCAAUGUAAGUUAUAAAAUAUCCUAAUUUACAACUACAGUAUCUAAAUCCUCUUUGUAACAGCACAAUCAAUAGGAUUUUAUUGCAAGUUCACUGGAAAAGAUUCUCAAUAACGUUAGUAAAAUGCACUAAAAUAUGGCCUUGGUCUCUUUCAGUGCUUUGUCUUCGAAUUCAAGUAUUUUCUUUCCUUAAAAACACAUGCAAGUGAACGCACAGUGCAAGGUAUGCACCUGGAUGAGUAACAGAUACUUUUGCCUGUAAAUGGAUUAGCUUCCACCAAUAGUUAAUAGGAUUUCCUUCCACCAAUAAACAGACUUCCAAGUUCUGCAUUCAGGGCAUCGUCAGGAAUGACAUCAUCCUCCACAAACUCAUCUCCAAGCUUCUUCCACCACGGCCAGCGAGCAUACUUCAGCAUAGCGUUGUGGGACUGUUUGGCCUUGGUAGCUACAGGGACUGACCGACUCAUAAAGACAGCAAGAUCUUUUUCUGUGGUCUCUGCUAACCGUGGAGCAUCUG
Long non-coding RNA from Cygnus olor (mute swan), 3402 nucleotides. RefSeq lists it as uncharacterized. NCBI's taxonomy places the organism in Eukaryota, Metazoa, Chordata, Aves, Anseriformes, Anatidae. The transcript is spliced from 2 exons. The record is from RefSeq and is a predicted model, not a curated record.